AGCAGCAGCAGUCGAAGAAGAAGAACCGUAAACAAACUAAACUGAGGCGGCGUUUGUGUUUAGUUUUUAGGUUUUAACAGAAGAUGGAGGCACUCAGCAGACGGGCUCUGGACCGGAUUUACUCCGCGGUAUUGUUGGCAGUUGUGGUUUUGUCCUGGUCUUAUGUGAUCUACGCCAGCAGGAUCGCCUCCGUUUGGCUGCUGGAACAGAGGACGCGUCGUUGAGGCAAGACUGACCGUGCGUCAGAGUGCAGGCGUACAGGCUGAUGGACCCCUUUGAGCCCUCGUUCCAGAGGUUCAGACCUGAACAUAUGGUGACUGUUCAGGUAGAAGAGGACAGAAGCAGCUGAAAGCACCAGAAGUUUCCAGGAGGUCAGAUCUGAAAGGAGACGACACAAACAACCAAAAACUGGUUUAAAAGCGGGAAAAGACGGCGUAAUGAGAGACACAAUGAGCUUGAGUGGGUUCUAUGGGGACUGCGUUUAGCCCACAACACAGUAAA
Long non-coding RNA from Neolamprologus brichardi, 501 nucleotides. RefSeq lists it as uncharacterized. The record is from RefSeq and is a predicted model, not a curated record. Lineage: Eukaryota; Metazoa; Chordata; Actinopteri; Cichliformes; Cichlidae.